Molecule: long non-coding RNA, 440 nt
Organism: Hordeum vulgare subsp. vulgare (domesticated barley)
Lineage: Eukaryota; Viridiplantae; Streptophyta; Magnoliopsida; Poales; Poaceae
Exons: 2
Source: RefSeq, a predicted model, not a curated record
CGCACCAUGCACUCCUCUUCGCCAUCCUUCUGCUCCUGUUCUCGGAGCUCAACGUCGAAAGCCUCUGCCAUCCACUCCUCGGGGAAAAUGAAACAAUGUUUUUAACAUGAAGAAAACAGGUUGGAAUCGAUUAAACAAGGAAGUGAAGAUUUUAAAUCCAAAUUGCUAAUCUCGUGGAAGAAGACCCAGAGUGAAGUCUAACAAAUGCAGUAUAGACAUAGGGAUGGACAUGGUUGAACCAAACAUACCACUUCAGAAGAAUGGACUCCGUAGCAUAGAAGAAUCAAGGGAGCCUUCUUUUGUUGGUGGACGCCCAGAUCGCCCAGAUCGUAACAUAACUAGCAUACUUUUACUCUGUUUCAUGAUUUGUCAUCAACGACGGUCUACUCCCAUGACAACUGCUACCGAGUUGAAUAAGAGAAACGAUUCUGUUCAGCUGA